CCUUAUGAUGACUCUAUGACAUGCGAAAGGCAUUCCUCAAACUUAACCAAUAAUGUGGAAUUUUGUCAGCUCUUAAGUUUCAGCCUUGUCUGAUU
This 95-nucleotide small nucleolar RNA is filed under the name Microsporum canis CBS 113480. Its description in RNAcentral is "Arthroderma otae CBS 113480 A. fumigatus snoRNA Afu_455". It matches the Rfam family "A. fumigatus snoRNA Afu_455". The record is from Rfam by way of RNAcentral. Lineage: Eukaryota; Fungi; Ascomycota; Eurotiomycetes; Onygenales; Arthrodermataceae.